CCUACGGGUGGCAGCAGUGAGGAAUAUUGGUCAAUGGGCGGGAGCCUGAACCAGCCAAGUCGUGUGAGGGAAGACGGUCCUAUGGAUUGUAAACCUCUUUAGGCGGGGAGCAAUGCCGGGCACGCGUGCCCGGCGGGAGAGUACCCGCAGCAUAAGCAUCGGCUAACUCCGUGCCAGCAGCCGCGGUAAUACGGAGGAUGCGAGCGUUAUCCGGAUUUAUUGGGUUUAAAGGGUGCGUAGGCGGAUUUUUAAGUCAGCGGUAAAAUGUCCGGGCUCAACCCGGGCCGGCCGUUGAAACUGGUGAUCUUGAGUGGGCGAGAAGUAUGCGGAAUGCGUGGUGUAGCGGUGAAAUGCAUAGAUAUCACGCAGAACUCCGAUUGCGAAGGCAGCAUACCGGCGCCCGACUGACGCUGAGGCACGAAAGCGUGGGGAUCGAACAGGAUUAGAUACCCGAGUAGUC
This 460-nucleotide ribosomal RNA is filed under the name uncultured bacterium. RNAcentral describes it as "partial 16S ribosomal RNA". It matches the Rfam family "Bacterial small subunit ribosomal RNA", at positions 338 to 795 of the family's 1533-position model. The record is from RNAcentral.